CCUACGGGUGGCAGCAGUGGGGAAUAUUGCACAAUGGGGGAAACCCUGAUGCAGCGAUGCCGCGUGGGUGAAGAAGUAAUUCGUUGCGUAAAGCUCUGUCAGCAGGGAAGAAAAUGACAGUACCUGAGCAAGAAGCCCCGGCUAACUACGUGCCAGCAGCCGCGGUAAUACGUAGGGGGCAAGCGUUAUCCGGAUUUACUGGGUGUAAAGGGAGCGUAGGCGGCGCGGCAAGUCAGAAGUGAAAUGCCGCGGCUUAACUGCGGGAGUGCAUUGGAAACUGGCGAACUGGAGUGCCGGAGGGGUAAGCGGAAUUCCUAGUGUAGCGGUGAAAUGCGUAGAUAUUAGGAGGAACACCAGUGGCGAAGGCGGCUUACUGGACGGUAACUGACGUUGAGGCUCGAAAGCGUGGGGAGCAAACAGGAUUAGAUACCCGGGUAGUC
RNAcentral lists this ribosomal RNA (440 nucleotides) under uncultured bacterium. RNAcentral describes it as "partial 16S ribosomal RNA". It matches the Rfam family "Bacterial small subunit ribosomal RNA", at positions 338 to 795 of the family's 1533-position model. The record is from RNAcentral.